This 497-nucleotide ribosomal RNA is filed under the name uncultured bacterium. RNAcentral's name for it is "partial 16S ribosomal RNA". It matches the Rfam family "Bacterial small subunit ribosomal RNA", at positions 28 to 507 of the family's 1533-position model. The record is from RNAcentral.
GAUGAACGCUGGCGGCGUGCCUAAUACAUGCAAGUCGAGCGAACGGACGAGAAGCUUGCUUCUCUGAUGUUAGCGGCGGACGGGUGAGUAACACGUGGAUAACCUACCUAUAAGACUGGGAUAACUUCGGGAAACCGGAGCUAAUACCGGAUAAUAUUUUGAACCGCAUGGUUCAAAAGUGAAAGACGGUCUUGCUGUCACUUAUAGAUGGAUCCGCGCUGCAUUAGCUAGUUGGUAAGGUAACGGCUUACCAAGGCAACGAUGCAUAGCCGACCUGAGAGGGUGAUCGGCCACACUGGAACUGAGACACGGUCCAGACUCCUACGGGAGGCAGCAGUCGGGAAUCUUCCGCAAUGGGCGAAAGCCUGACGGAGCAACGCCGCGUGAGUGAUGAAGGUCUUCGGAUCGUAAAACUCUGUUAUUAGGGAAGAACAUAUGUGUAAGUAACUGUGCACAUCUUGACGGUACCUAAUCAGAAAGCCACGGCUAACUACGUG